AGUGAACGCUGGCGGCAGGCCUAACACAUGCAAGUCGAACGGCAGCACAGUAAGAGCUUGCUCUUACGGGUGGCGAGUGGCGGACGGGUGAGGAAUACAUCGGAAUCUUCUUUUUCGUGGGGGAUAACGUAGGGAAACUUACGCUAAUACCGCAUAUGAUCUACGGGUGAAAGCAGGGGAACUUCGCACCUUGCGCGACUGAAUUAGCCGAUGUCGGAUUAGCUAGUUGGCGGGGUAAAGGCCCACCAAGGCGACGAUCCGUAGCCGGUCUGAGAGGAUGAUCGGCCACACUGGAACUGAGACACGGUCCAGACUCCUACGGGAGGCAGCAGUGGGGAAUAUUGGGCAAUGGGCGCAAGCCUGACCCAGCCAUACCGCGUGGGUGAAGAAGGCCUUCGGGUUGUAAAGCCCUUUUGUUGGGAAAGAAAAGCAGCAGGUUAAUACGCCGCUGUUCUGACGGUACCCAAAGAAUAAGCACCGGCUAACUUCGUG
Molecule: ribosomal RNA, 492 nt
Filed under: uncultured bacterium
Lineage: Bacteria
Description: partial 16S ribosomal RNA
Rfam family: Bacterial small subunit ribosomal RNA
Source: RNAcentral